RNAcentral lists this long non-coding RNA (1197 nucleotides) under Marmota monax (woodchuck). The record is from RNAcentral. Lineage: Eukaryota; Metazoa; Chordata; Mammalia; Rodentia; Sciuridae.
AAGCAGGCUUCUGUGCGCAAAUACUAAAUUACUGGUUCUUCCGCCCUCAUUAGGGUACCCUCCUCCUCACGAGGACCCUACUAUAAUCACCAGUAUGGGUGGGACCUCCCCUAAUUGGCCCCCAGUACCUUCCCCUCAGCUGUAGUUUCCUACUGUUUUCCUUUAGCUACCUGAUGCUGGGUCUUUCUUGCCCUCCAGAAGAUCCUCUUUGUUAAGAUAACCCAAGUCUCACUUCUUGCCCUGGGUCCUCACCUGUUCACACUUUAACCCUCCACCAGUAGGAGCACAAUUUCUCCACCCUACCUCCUCAUCUCACUCUGCCAACUCUACUCAGAACAAAUCAGGUACAAGUCACAACAGCCCUGAAACCCCAAAGGCUUCCUCACUUGGCUUACAACCCUAGGGGAGCAAUCUCCCUACCCUCAGGAAGAUACACGGACAACCCUCUCUCCAAAGAAUUCUCACUGUCCAUACCCAGGGUGAAUUCUCUACCCUCUUCACCUCACCUGGAGCACAUCAGGAGCUAAUGCUGGCAAUACCAUAAUCUCUUAACAAAUGCCACACUUGUUUCAGCAUCUCCUGAGGAAGUAGGGACAUUUGUCACCUGUCGUAGUAUUCUGAGGAGACAGCUAGAAAGUCACAUUUAAAAUCCUGUUACAAACUACUCAGACUCUAAGUUGCAAGGGAAAAGACUCACUCAAUUCAUCUUAAUUAGUGGAGGUUGGAGAUAAGGAUACCCCCAGAGAUAAGAAACACUAAAAUACAAUGGCAGCCCAAGGGCAACCACCCUAGACCUCGAAAUGACUAUUUGGCAGCUCAGAGUGUAAAACAGACCCAAUGACCAGACAUGUUUAUCACCCCCUUAGCAAAGGACUUCUGGGACUCCCCUGACAUAGGGACAGAGCAACCUCUCUGUUUCUGCUACCACCCCUCCUUUUGCUCCCAUCCAUAUAGGCCUGCUCCUGCUCUGUUCCAUGGAACACAAGUGUCAUAAAAAUAUGUUAACAGGUGAGAGUUCAGUCAUCCAAUAGGUCUAGAAAACACUGAGUUAAUAUUAAGAGUGUAAAACAGACCCAAUGUCUGUCUAGUGUCUUUCUGUAAGAUUAGUAAUUCUUUAUUGUGCCAAAGCAUUGUGGAACUCUCCAGAAGGGGAACACGGAUGUGGUAUUUCCCAAAUGUGCUUGCCUAGGAAACCCC